GGGUUGUGAGGUUAAGCGACUAAGCGUACACGGUGGAUGCCCUGGCAGUCAGAGGCGAUGAAGGGCGUGCUAAUCUGCGAUAAGCGCCGGUAAGGUGAUAUGAACCGUUAUAACCGGCGAUACCCGAAUGGGGAAACCCAGUGUGAUUCGUCACACUAUCAUUAACUGAAUCCAUAGGUUAAUGAGGCGAACCGGGGGAACUGAAACAUCUAAGUACCCCGAGGAAAAGAAAUCAACCGAGAUUCCCCCAGUAGCGGCGAGCGAACGGGGAGGAGCCCAGAGCCUGAAUCAGCAUGUGUGUUAGUGGAAGCGUCUGGAAAGGCGCGCGAUACAGGGUGACAGCCCCGUACACAAAAGCGCAUGUGCUGUGAGCUCGAUGAGUAGGGCGGGACACGUGGUAUCCUGUCUGAAUAUGGGGGGACCAUCCUCCAAGGCUAAAUACUCCUGACUGACCGAUAGUGAACCAGUACCGUGAGGGAAAGGCGAAAAGAACCCCGGCGAGGGGAGUGAAAAAGAACCUGAAACCGUGUACGUACAAGCAGUGGGAGCACCCUUUGGGGUGUGACUGCGUACCUUUUGUAUAAUGGGUCAGCGACUUAUAUUCUGUAGCAAGGUUAACCGUAUAGGGGAGCCGGAGGGAAACCGAGUCUUAAUUGGGCGUUAAGUUGCAGGGUAUAGACCCGAAACCCGGUGAUCUAGCCAUGGGCAGGUUGAAGGUUGGGUAACACUAACUGGAGGACCGAACCGACUAAUGUUGAAAAAUUAGCGGAUGACCUGUGGCUGGGGGUGAAAGGCCAAUCAAACCGGGAGAUAGCUGGUUCUCCCCGAAAGCUAUUUAGGUAGCGCCUCGUGAAUUCAUCUCCGGGGGUAGAGCACUGUUUCGGCUAGGGGGCCAUCCCGGCUUACCAACCCGAUGCAAACUGCGAAUACCGGAGAAUGUUAUCACGGGAGACACACGGCGGGUGCUAACGUCCGUCGUGAAGAGGGAAACAACCCAGACCGCCAGCUAAGGUCCCAAAGUCAUGGUUAAGUGGGAAACGAUGUGGGAAGGCCCAGACAGCCAGGAUGUUGGCUUAGAAGCAGCCAUCAUUUAAAGAAAGCGUAAUAGCUCACUGGUCGAGUCGGCCUGCGCGGAAGAUGUAACGGGGCUAAACCAUGCACCGAAGCUGCGGCAGCGACACUGUGUGUUGUUGGGUAGGGGAGCGUUCUGUAAGCCUGUGAAGGUGUGUCGUGAGGCAUGCUGGAGGUAUCAGAAGUGCGAAUGCUGACAUAAGUAACGAUAAAGCGGGUGAAAAGCCCGCUCGCCGGAAGACCAAGGGUUCCUGUCCAACGUUAAUCGGGGCAGGGUGAGUCGACCCCUAAGGCGAGGCCGAAAGGCGUAGUCGAUGGGAAACGGGUUAAUAUUCCCGUACUUGGUGUUACUGCGAAGGGGGGACGGAGAAGGCUAUGUUGGCCGGGCGACGGUUGUCCCGGUUUAAGCGUGUAGGCUGGUUUUCCAGGCAAAUCCGGAAAAUCAAGGCUGAGGCGUGACGACGAGGCACUACGGUGCUGAAGCAACAAAUGCCCUGCUUCCAGGAAAAGCCUCUAAGCAUCAGGUAACACGAAAUCGUACCCCAAACCGACACAGGUGGUCAGGUAGAGAAUACCAAGGCGCUUGAGAGAACUCGGGUGAAGGAACUAGGCAAAAUGGGGCCGUAACUUCGGGAGAAGGCACGCUGACAUGUAGGUGAAGUGAUUUACUCAUGGAGCUGAAGUCAGUCGAAGAUACCAGCUGGCUGCAACUGUUUAUUAAAAACACAGCACUGUGCAAACACGAAAGUGGACGUAUACGGUGUGACGCCUGCCCGGUGCCGGAAGGUUAAUUGAUGGGGUCAGCGCAAGCGAAGCUCCUGAUCGAAGCCCCGGUAAACGGCGGCCGUAACUAUAACGGUCCUAAGGUAGCGAAAUUCCUUGUCGGGUAAGUUCCGACCUGCACGAAUGGCGUAAUGAUGGCCAGGCUGUCUCCACCCGAGACUCAGUGAAAUUGAACUCGCUGUGAAGAUGCAGUGUACCCGCGGCAAGACGGAAAGACCCCGUGAACCUUUACUAUAGCUUGACACUGAACAUUGAGCCUUGAUGUGUAGGAUAGGUGGGAGGCUUUGAAGCGUGGACGCCAGUCUGCGUGGAGCCGACCUUGAAAUACCACCCUUUAAUGUUUGAUGUUCUAACGUGGACCCGUAAUCCGGGUUGCGGACAGUGUCUGGUGGGUAGUUUGACUGGGGCGGUCUCCUCCUAAAGAGUAACGGAGGAGCACGAAGGUUGGCUAAUCCUGGUCGGACAUCAGGAGGUUAGUGCAAUGGCAUAAGCCAGCUUGACUGCGAGCGUGACGGCGCGAGCAGGUGCGAAAGCAGGUCAUAGUGAUCCGGUGGUUCUGAAUGGAAGGGCCAUCGCUCAACGGAUAAAAGGUACUCCGGGGAUAACAGGCUGAUACCGCCCAAGAGUUCAUAUCGACGGCGGUGUUUGGCACCUCGAUGUCGGCUCAUCACAUCCUGGGGCUGAAGUAGGUCCCAAGGGUAUGGCUGUUCGCCAUUUAAAGUGGUACGCGAGCUGGGUUUAGAACGUCGUGAGACAGUUCGGUCCCUAUCUGCCGUGGGCGCUGGAGAACUGAGGGGGGCUGCUCCUAGUACGAGAGGACCGGAGUGGACGCAUCACUGGUGUUCGGGUUGUCAUGCCAAUGGCACUGCCCGGUAGCUAAAUGCGGAAGAGAUAAGUGCUGAAAGCAUCUAAGCACGAAACUUGCCCCGAGAUGAGUUCUCCCUGAGACUUAAAGUCUCCUGAAGGAACGUUGAAGACGACGACGUUGAUAGGCCGGGUGUGUAAGCGCAGCGAUGCGUUGAGCUAACCGGUACUAAUGAACCGUGAGGCUUAACCUUACAACGCCGAAG
RNAcentral lists this ribosomal RNA (2924 nucleotides) under Salmonella enterica subsp. enterica serovar Bareilly str. CFSAN000669. RNAcentral's name for it is "23S ribosomal RNA". It matches the Rfam family "Bacterial large subunit ribosomal RNA". Lineage: Bacteria; Pseudomonadati; Pseudomonadota; Gammaproteobacteria; Enterobacterales; Enterobacteriaceae. The record is from RNAcentral.